Molecule: transfer RNA, 69 nt
Filed under: Bos taurus (domestic cattle)
Lineage: Eukaryota; Metazoa; Chordata; Mammalia; Artiodactyla; Bovidae
Also listed under: 4 other names
Rfam family: tRNA
About the family: Transfer RNA (tRNA) molecules are approximately 80 nucleotides in length. Their secondary structure includes four short double-helical elements and three loops (D, anti-codon, and T loops).
Source: Rfam by way of RNAcentral
CCUGGUAGCUCAGAUGGUAAAGAAUCUGCCUAUAAUGCAGGAGACCCAGGUUCGAUCCCUGGGUCAGGA